Molecule: ribosomal RNA, 499 nt
Filed under: uncultured archaeon
Lineage: Archaea
Description: bacterial SSU rRNA
Rfam family: Archaeal small subunit ribosomal RNA
Source: RNAcentral
GAUAGGGGACUCGAGUGUGUGGGCAUAGAGCCCACACUUUUUGUAUACCGUAAGAAGGUACACGAAUAAGAGCUGGGCAAGACCGGUGCCAGCCGCCGCGGUAAUACCGGCAGCUCGAGUGAUGGCCGAUUUUAUUGGGCCUAAAGCGUCCGUAGCCGGCCGGGCAAGUCCGUUGGGAAAUCUGUUCGCUUAACGAACAGGCGUCCAGCGGAAACUGCUCGGCUUGGGACCGAAAGACCUGAGGGGUACGUCCGGGGUAGGAGUGAAAUCCUGUAAUCCUGGACGGACCACCGAUGGGGAAACCACCUCAGGAGGACGGAUCCGACGGUGAGGGACGAAAGCUAGGGUCUCGAACCGGAUUAGAUACCCGGGUAGUCCUAGCUGUAAACGAUGUCUGCUAGGUGUGGCACAGGCUACGAGCCUGUGCUGUGCCGUAGGGAAGCCGAGAAGCAGACCGCCUGGGAAGUACGUCCGCAAGGAUGAAACUUAAAGGAAUUGG